GCGGCCGUCGAGGCGCAGUGGCAGCGCGACGUUCUCGUACACCGUGAGCAUCGGCAGGAGGUUGAACUGCUGGAAGACGAAGCCGAUGCGGCUGCG
Molecule: transfer RNA, 96 nt
Filed under: Streptomyces sp. S1D4-11
Lineage: Bacteria; Bacillati; Actinomycetota; Actinomycetes; Kitasatosporales; Streptomycetaceae
Also listed under: 2 other names
Description: tRNA-Thr
Source: RNAcentral